RNAcentral lists this transfer-messenger RNA (360 nucleotides) under Desulfobulbaceae. RNAcentral's name for it is "Electrothrix sp022766165 Standard tmRNA". It matches the Rfam family "transfer-messenger RNA". From Rfam's summary of the family: Bacterial tmRNA, also known as 10Sa RNA or SsrA, is named for its dual tRNA and mRNA-like properties. Lineage: Bacteria; Pseudomonadati; Thermodesulfobacteriota; Desulfobulbia; Desulfobulbales. The record is from RNAcentral. RNAcentral also lists the same sequence under 1 other name.
GGGGGUGAAACGGAUUCGACGGGGAUAUGAAAGCUCAUCGUUGCAUGUCGAGUGUUCUGUCAGCUCGUAAAAUUGAUGGAUUUUUAAAUAUAAUCGCUGACGAUUAUAAUUACGCAAUGGCAGCAUAGUCUGCUUUGCCGCUUUCCCAGUCCGUGCCCGUAAGGCUGGUGUAAAGCGUCGACUCUUCGGGCUGGUCAACUGGUGUGCCUCUCAUCAGACUGACGAGAUCUAACAGGCUGGUAUGCAGCAAUCCCCUGUUCUGGGUGAGAGCUGGAUACGAGAUUUUUACCCAGAACUAAACAUGUAGAGACGUGAGUGGAGUAUUUUCGGACCCGGGUUCAACUCCCGGCACCUCCACCA